AGUGAACGCUGGCGGUAGGCCUAACACAUGCAAGUCGAACGGCAGCACAGUAAGAGCUUGCUCUUACGGGUGGCGAGUGGCGGACGGGUGAGGAAUACAUCGGAAUCUACUUUUUCGUGGGGGAUAACGUAGGGAAACUUACGCUAAUACCGCAUACGACCUACGGGUGAAAGCAGGGGAUCUUCGGACCUUGCGCGAUUGAAUGAGCCGAUGUCGGAUUAGCUAGUUGGCGGGGUAAGGGCCCACCAAGGCGACGAUCCGUAGCUGGUCUGAGAGGAUGAUCAGCCACACUGGAACUGAGACACGGUCCAGACUCCUACGGGAGGCAGCAGUGGGGAAUAUUGGACAAUGGGCGCAAGCCUGAUCCAGCCAUACCGCGUGGGUGAAGAAGGCCUUCGGGUUUUAAAGCCCUUUUGUUGGGAAAGAAAAGCAGCAGGUUAAUACCCCGCUGUUCUGACGGUACCCAAAGAAUAAGCACCGGCUAACUUCGUG
This 492-nucleotide ribosomal RNA is filed under the name uncultured bacterium. RNAcentral's name for it is "partial 16S ribosomal RNA". It matches the Rfam family "Bacterial small subunit ribosomal RNA", at positions 29 to 507 of the family's 1533-position model. The record is from RNAcentral.